AUCAUACUCCCUCCGUCCGGAAAUAUUUGUCAUCAAAAUGGAUAAAAAAGAGUGUAUCUAGAACUAAAAUACAUCUAGAUACAUCCCCCUUUAUUCAUCUUGAUGAUAAGUAUUCCCGGACGGAGGGAGUAUUAC
Non-coding RNA from Triticum urartu, 135 nucleotides. The record is from Rfam. NCBI's taxonomy places the organism in Eukaryota, Viridiplantae, Streptophyta, Magnoliopsida, Poales, Poaceae.